Oncorhynchus gorbuscha (pink salmon) is the source of this 2963-nucleotide long non-coding RNA. RefSeq lists it as uncharacterized. The transcript has 3 exons. The record is from RefSeq and is a predicted model, not a curated record. Lineage: Eukaryota; Metazoa; Chordata; Actinopteri; Salmoniformes; Salmonidae.
UUUAGGUCCAGAAGCUACACAAUACUUUUAAGCUAAUAUUUUCUAAAAGUAACAGGAGCUCAAGCAGUAGAACAUUUGAAAUGCUGGUACUCCGCUCUGGUGAGUCAAGCACUGCUACUUUGCCAGCCAGGAAAGGUAGAGGAUAACAGAUUUAAAUACUGUGUUAACACACUUAGCUAAAGCCUAUAGAGACUCACAUUGGAAGUAUAAAAAAUACCCAUAAAACCUAGCGGUCAAACAGGGAAACAGUUCCAGUUGUUUUUCCACCAUUCAUUUUUUUUCAUAGGGGAUUUUAGAAACACUUAAAAUAGGAGCUGUGUUUUGUGUAGGCUUACCCUGGCGUGACGUUUUGAUAAACCAUUUAAAUCUCUCUCGGAGAAGGUGACAUAAAUAUAUUUGUCUAUUUACUCUCAGAUUCGAAAAACGAAUUAGAAUAAAAGUAGACAUGCAAGACUAGAAAUCCCUGCAAGCUCCUGCACAUCAUCUCUGACACCUUUGUUAACAGGUAUUAUAUCAAUUUAAAACUUGCACAGGACAGUUCACAGAAUUGUCCACUUAAAAUACAUUUUUGCCAAUUUAUUCAUUACUACAUGGUAGUUAAUCUAGAGAUGAUCUAGAUAGAGACUGCUUCAAUUAGGCAGUCUCGUCCAGAUCAUCGUGGUAUUUGUAGUUCUUUAUAAUAGCCACAUGAGCAGUUUCAUUUGACUAGGCAAGUCAGUAAGAACAAAUUCCUUUUUUCAAUGACAGCUUAGGAACAGUGGGUUAACUGCCUUGCUCAAGGGCAGAACAACCUUUCAGUUACUAGUUCAACGCUCUAACCACUAGGCUACCUGUCACCUCAGGUAGGUAGUUAAUUAGAAUUUCAUUUUGGGGGAUUAAAUACAGGCUAAUUUAGUGAUAAAAGUCACCUUGUCCCAUGGAGAUUUACACGGUUAUCAAAAUGGCAGUCCACACAAAACACAGCCUUUAUCUUAAGUGUUUCUAAAAAUUUAAAAAAGAACGGUGUUUGACCGCUAGGUUUUUAUGGGUAUUGUGACUCAUACUGUGGUACUCUAUUUGGAUACAUUCAGGAAGUUCAUAUAAAGGACUGCACCCUGCUUGCUUAUCAAGUACCGCUUAAAGUGCCAGGGCCCUCAUUUAUCAAUGUUGCGUAGAAAAGCUUCUAACUUAAUUGUACGAAGAAAAUGUAGAAUGUUCGCAAGUACAACAAAGUUUGUAUUUAUCAAUUGCUCGUACACUUGAUUUACACACACGUGUAUGUAUUUUGCCUUGAUAAAUCAGACACGUUCUAAAACACUGCUAGUGCACCUGAAGUCUAAUUUACAUAAAGAACCGCCCCAAAUGACCAAUUAUGGUCAUAAACCUUCCCUUUAAUGCUGCAAGAAAUGUCACUCAUUUCUUUCCGCCAACGUGGAGAAAUCAAAGAAAAUAAACUUUUUCGCUGAAAUAGAAAUAGAACUUUUGAUCACCGAAGUGGAAGCAAAACAAGACAUACUUUUUGGAGCCCUCAGCAAUGGCUUGACAAAUAAGAUAAAAUAUUGCUUGGGAGCAGGUUAGAGCUGUGGUAAAUUCUGCCUCUGAGUGCAGAACAGUUAAUCAAAUAAAAUAAAUGGUGUGAUUGGAAAACGUAUGCAAAAAAAAAAGAUCCACAAAAGGGAUAGAAGUGCAACAGGAGGAGUGCAGAGUGACUCUUCACUGUCUACAAUGGACCAGCGCAUUGGCAGCAUAAUUGGAGAGACCUCAGUGUCUGGCAUCAUUUGAUGGUGAUACUGAGGACCCUCUCCCAGACCCUGAAGGAAUAGCAGACACCAAUUGAUGAUGUGGGUGAUUUGCCUGACCCCCUCAGCCAUCCCCAGGCCUACAAGAAGUGUGUCUGCUUUGGCGAGCACUUCAGCUGUGCGGCAUGUUUUGACUGACGCAGUACCGAAACAACAAGAGAUCAAGACAUCAAUUAUUGUACUCCAACAGCAGCUGGAGGAUGUAUGAAACGGCCUGAGAGAUUCCAGAGCUAUGGGUGGUGGGAAACACUCCGUCAGUCAUGGGCUCAUCGGAUCUGGGUGGAUCAUUCAGUGGAAGGCCAUUUUUGAAUGUAAUGUUGUGGCGCACACUGCAAGCCUUGACAAUGUAGCAAACCUAAAAAGGAAUUUGCACAUUGUAUUACAUUCACACAAUGGCAUUUGAAGAUGUCAUUCCAAAGGCAAGCCUUGCUAGGCUGGUAUUGCAGUAUGCCUCCUGUCCCAGACAAGCACAGCCAACGCCCUUUCAACAGGCCUAUGGUGCGUGCCACUGUUCUUGUGCGUGCGUGGCCUUGGUUGUACCUUGCAUCUUGUUGGUUUGUGAGGGGAGUCAUCAGCCAUGGUUUUUAAUGGGUAGCCCCGGUCUCCUGCAGUUAUGAACACAACAUUCAGUUUCCCAUUAGAGGUCGAACAUGGCAAAUAAAACACUAGUCACUUACCAAUAAGCCAUCCAUACUCAACAGCUCCCGUCUGGAGGUUAAGGGCAACUGAACUGUUGUUCUGCGCAAUGACUGAAUCAUGUGUCCCACCUGGCCACUACAAAGCCAAAUGUGUGUCACAGAUGACCUGCACAUUGACAGAAUGGAAACCUUUUCUGUUGACAAAGUUCAUUUUGUUCACUGAUGGUGCUUUUAUUGCGAUGUGGGUGCAGUCAAUUGUUCCAAUGACAUUGGGAAAUCCCUUUUCACUCUGGCCUGUUGCACAGCAGUGUACGGAAACAAUGUAUUGUGGAGUCAAUGAAAUAAUGCCAUGAAGGACUGCAGGCAAUAUUCGGCUCAUGGUUGGUUGUGAAAUGCCAGACCAAUGAAAUGCCAGUCUCCCGUUGGAAUGUUCCAGUGGCCAAAACUUCCAGGGUGGAGAGGACGUGGGUGUGCACUGGGGAUUGCAUUGGUGCGUUACGUCUCACUUUCUAAUACUGGAGAGAGUUGGUUGCAGAGAUACAAUAAA